RNAcentral lists this long non-coding RNA (895 nucleotides) under Sus scrofa (pig). RNAcentral describes it as "lncRNA (ENSSSCG00015065365.1)". Lineage: Eukaryota; Metazoa; Chordata; Mammalia; Artiodactyla; Suidae. The record is from RNAcentral.
UACAGCACAUGCGCGGAGUCCAGCCCCAGGCUGGCGGGCAACUGUCUCACCUGCUCACCUCGUGGCUUCGGCGGGCAGCUCCGGGACAUCGGGUCUUGGCGUCUUCACUCCCAGGAGAGCAGAUCCACCGCAUCAAGGGGAGCUGUGAAAACGGAAGGCAGAGCUGAGGAUGCCUGUGCCUGGGCUCUCCUACCGGGUGUCCGUCUCUGCGAGGGGGGAAGACGGGGGAGAGCGGCGCUGCCCCCACCACCUCCCGCGGGAAGGGGACGCUGCAGGUGCCCAUCACCCAGUGAGGGUGGCAUUAGCCUGGUGGCACCACCGAGCCGCCCCGCGACCCGCUGCUCCUGCCCCUGGCGAUCUGACGUUUCAGUUUCUUUCACUUAAAUUUCAAGGGCAGCAGUCACGUGUGGUUACCAGAGCGGACAGCCCAGAAGUAGAGCAUGUCAACCUCACAGACAGUUCCACGGGGCUGUUCUAGAGGGAGCAGGUCCGGGUCUGGGGACCAGGGAGACCCCGUGGAGAGGGGGGGACUCAGGAGCCUGCUCUGUCCAGCUCAGGCCUCUGACCCAUGUCCUCCUGAUGCCUCAUUCCUAGGAGACACAUGGACGCAUUCACAGGAUGGAAACAAUCCCGGCCCGUGGACAGAGCAUGUUUACAUUCUCAUCGGGGUCUCUGCAGCCUUUCUCCUUUGUCUCCUCCUCUUGGUCCUCCUCCUCCUCCAGCGCUGGCAUCAGAGGAAACGGGGGCCCCCCAGAAGCAAAGGCAAGGAGCCAGAGCCCCAGGAGAGGCUCAGCCCAGCUGUUGACGUCCUAGAUGGGACACCAGGUACAGACAAGGGUGGGACAGGUCUGGGAGGGGAAGGGGGCAUUCACUGCCAUCCAGGAAGCCAUGUUCA